ACGCUCGACACCUACGGAGCAGCAGUGAGGAAUAUUGGUCAAUGGGCGCAGGCCUGAACCAGCCAAGUAGCGUGAAGGAUGACUGCCCUAUGGGUUGUAAACUUCUUUUAUAUGGGAAUAAAGUUUUCCACGUGUGGAAUUUUGUAUGUACCAUAUGAAUAAGGAUCGGCUAACUCCGUGCCAGCAGCCGCGGUAAUCUGAGCGGGCUGGCAAGGC
Molecule: ribosomal RNA, 216 nt
Filed under: uncultured bacterium
Lineage: Bacteria
Description: partial 16S ribosomal RNA
Rfam family: Bacterial small subunit ribosomal RNA
Source: RNAcentral